Molecule: ribosomal RNA, 453 nt
Filed under: uncultured Eubacteriales bacterium
Lineage: Bacteria; Bacillati; Bacillota; Clostridia; Eubacteriales
Description: bacterial SSU rRNA
Rfam family: Bacterial small subunit ribosomal RNA
Source: RNAcentral
CCCGGCGCGCCCCGCGCCCGUCCCGCCGCCCCCGCCCGUGGCGGACGGGUGAGUAACGCGUGGGAAACCUGCCCUUGACAGGGGGACAGCCGAGGGAAACUUCGAUUUAUACCCCAUAACGCAGAGAGACCGCAUGGUCCAUCUGCCAAAGAUUUAUCGGUCAGGGAUGGUCCCGCGUCUGAUUAGCUGGUUGGUGAGGCAGCGGCUCACCAAGGCGACGAUCAGUAGCCGGCCUGAGAGGGUGAACGGCCACAUUGGAACUGAAACACGGUCCAGACUCCUACGGGAGGCAGCAGUGGGGAAUAUUGCACAAUGGGCGCAAGCCUGAUGCAGCAACCCCGCGUGAAGGAGGAAGGCCUUCGGGUCGUAAAUUUCUGUCCAAAGGGAAGAARAAUGACGGUACCUUUGGAGGAAGCCCCGGCUAACUACGUGCCAGCAGCCGCGGUAAUACGA